UUGGGAAUAUUGGACAAUGGGGGAAACCCUGAUCCAGCAAUGCCGCGUGGGUGAUGAAGGCCUUCGGGUUGUAAAGCCCUUUUGGCGGGGACGAUGAUGACGGUACCCGCAGAAUAAGCCCCGGCUAACUUCGUGCCAGCAGCCGCGGUAAUACGAAGGGGGCUAGCGUUGUUCGGAAUUACUGGGCGUAAAGGGCGCGUAGGCGGCUGUGCAAGUCAGGUGUGAAAGCCCUGGGCUCAACCCAGGAUGUGCACUUGAUACUGCACGGCUAGAGUGUCGGAGAGGAUGGUGGAAUUCCCAGUGUAGAGGUGAAAUUCGUAGAUAUUGGGAAGAACACCGGUGGCGAAGGCGACCAUCUGGACGACAACUGACGCUGAGGCGCGAAAGCGUGGGGAGCAAACAGGAUUAGAUACCCCGGUAGUCC
Molecule: ribosomal RNA, 424 nt
Filed under: uncultured bacterium
Lineage: Bacteria
Description: bacterial SSU rRNA
Rfam family: Bacterial small subunit ribosomal RNA
Source: RNAcentral